This 363-nucleotide ribosomal RNA is filed under the name uncultured eukaryote. RNAcentral's name for it is "partial 18S ribosomal RNA". It matches the Rfam family "Eukaryotic small subunit ribosomal RNA", at positions 592 to 976 of the family's 1831-position model. The record is from RNAcentral.
CAAUAGUGUAUCUUAACGUUGUUGCAGUUAAAAAGCUCGUAGUUGAAUUUCUGGGGGGGUGUUUCUAGGUACGUCCGGAUUCUGCCCUUUCAUCCGCUUCGGAACCUUGAGGGGUAUUUAGUUAUCGGCAUGUGGGAAGAGGCAUUUUACUUUGAAGAAAUUAGAGUGUUCCAGGCAGGCAUUUGCUUGAAUACAUCAGCAUGGAAUAAUGGAAUAGGACAAUGUUCAUUUGAUUGGUUAUUGAACUUGUAAUGAUUAACAGGGACAGUUGGGGGCAUUCGUAUUCUGUUGUCAGAGGUGGAAUUCUUGGAUUAACUGAAGACGAACUAAUGCGAAAGCAUUUGCCAAGGAUGUUUUCAUUAA